GAUGAACGCUGGCGGCGUGCCUAAUACAUGCAAGUCGAGCGAACAGACGAGAGUGCUUGCACUCUCUGACGUUAGCGGCGGACGGGUGAGUAACACGUGGGUAACCUACCUAUAAGACUGGGAUAACUUCGGGAAACCGGAGCUAAUACCGGAUAAUAUUUAGCUUCGCAUGAAGCAAUAGUGAAAGACGGUUCUGCUGUCACUUAUAGAUGGACCCGCGGUGUAUUAGCUGGUUGGUGAGGUAACGGCUCACCAAGGCAACGAUACAUAGCCGACCUGAGAGGGUGAUCGGCCACACUGGGACUGAGACACGGCCCAGACUCCUACGGGAGGCAGCAGUAGGGAAUCUUCCGCAAUGGACGAAAGUCUGACGGAGCAAUGCCGCGUGAGUGAAGAAGGUUUUCGGUUCGUAAAACUCUGUUGUAAGGGAAGAACAAGUACGUUAGUAACUGAACGUACCUUGACGGUACCUUACCAGAAAGCCACGGCUAACUACGUG
This 499-nucleotide ribosomal RNA is filed under the name uncultured bacterium. RNAcentral's name for it is "partial 16S ribosomal RNA". It matches the Rfam family "Bacterial small subunit ribosomal RNA", at positions 28 to 507 of the family's 1533-position model. The record is from RNAcentral.